GAUGAACGCUGGCGGCGUGCCUAAUACAUGCAAGUCGAACGCGCAGCGAAAGGUGCUUGCACCUUUCAAGCGAGUGGCGAACGGGUGAGUAACACGUGGAUAACCUGCCUCAAGGCUGGGGAUAACAUUUGGAAACAGAUGCUAAUACCGAAUAAAACUUAGUAUCGCAUGAUACAAAGUUGAAAGGCGCUACGGCGUCACCUAGAGAUGGGUCCGCGGUGCAUUAGUUAGUUGGUUGGGGUAAAGGCCUACCAAGACAAUGAUGCAUAGCCGAGUUGAGAGACUGAUCGGCACAUUGGACUGAGUACACGGCCCGAAACUCCUACGGAGGCUGCAGUAGGGAAUCUUCCAC
RNAcentral lists this ribosomal RNA (352 nucleotides) under uncultured bacterium. RNAcentral's name for it is "bacterial SSU rRNA". It matches the Rfam family "Bacterial small subunit ribosomal RNA", at positions 28 to 369 of the family's 1533-position model. The record is from RNAcentral.